Molecule: long non-coding RNA, 775 nt
Filed under: Numida meleagris (helmeted guineafowl)
Lineage: Eukaryota; Metazoa; Chordata; Aves; Galliformes; Numididae
Description: lncRNA (ENSNMEG00000023102.1)
Source: RNAcentral
CUCCAAUGCUUAAACCACAGGAGAAAAGUAGGAUGCUGGUACCACAGAAGUAGUGUGCUCCAAACUUCGGGCUGUACCUACUGUCCGGGGAUGAAAUCUGCCACCAGGACUUGCAAUACAUAGUCCUGUGCUCCCCAAGAGCUUUCGCUUCCUGCAAUGCGCUUGAGACCCGCAUGCAUCUUUGAAGAAAUGAUGCCUACUGCGAUUCAAGGAAGCAGGCUGUUCAUAAGGCAUAGUGACGAGCGCUACUGAAUCGUGUUCAUAAAUCACUUGUAGACCUUCUGCCAAUCACCAUCCAAUCAGCACUCGUACAGGAUAUGAGCGUGGAUGUUAUCGCAAUUUAAUGGGUCAGGGAUGCAAGGUGCUAUUGAAAGAAGUGAGGUUCAAUAGCAGUCUAGCAUCUGAACAAAAGAAGAUUUUCGCUGUAUUUUUCUGUGUUCUAGAGAAGUUAUGCGUGUCAGCACCCUCAUGCUCAACACAUUGCCCCGCUCAUCCCCAGAUACGCACAGAGCCUGGGCAAGGGGACGUCCUCCAGGAUGAAGCAUGGAGAGCUCCUGCUACUGAGCCUGUAAGACCUUAUAGCUCCUUGUGUGUCUGCUUGCUGUGCCUUGGCUGCAUAGGAGCUGCUCACCUGAUUGCUAGGGAUGAAGUCAGGAAUGAAUUCCUUCCCUCCAUCUGGUCACAAAGGCUGCUUCGUCCAUCUUCUGUGAUUCAAGGCUUGGUCUCCCUCCUGGAUGUGUUCACAGCCACACUCCCUGCUGUUCUUGGGACCUGA